CGAAAUGCUUGGUUUUUACCAUAUAAGGUGUGCAUGUGUAGUGGCUGGAGCUCUCUUUGUUGACACAUCAUGUAUGAGCAAAGUUGAUGGAGCAAAGAUAAGGAUUUGAAGGCCUUACUGGAAUUUUUGACUUGCCAGGGUGAUAUAAAAACUGGUAUAUACUGCUAAAGUAGCCUUGAACUUACUAAAUCGAAGAUGGCUGGAGUAGGAGCAAGAAGGAAGAAAGUCGUGUCAGUGACAUAUAUACACCACAAUUUUCAGCUGGUGUACCUUAUGGAGCCUUUUUGUCGGAGCUGUGGGUAUCCUUGUUCCUGUGAUCAGCUCAUUAUCAAAUAAUAUAGUUCUGUAGAUGGAAGGUUUCCUUUUAUACUGUAAAUACAAAUGUGGAAUUGUGUGAAGAGUGCGCCUAUUAAUCCCAUACAUAUGCUGAUAACACCAUGUUAGUUCUAAUCUCGACUGAUUGAAGAUUGUCAAAGAAGGAAAGCUUGGAGUAUGCUCUGCCAUCUUUGUGGAGGCUUAUUAUAGUCGUCUAAGCAGGUGGUAUUGCCAAGGCAUUGAACAGAUGGAUUCAAAGUGAUAGUCACUUGUUUUGUGUCUGGAUUUUGGGGGUAUGCUAGUGUAAAGUGUGUUGCUGAAAUGAAAGAGCAUCCUGAUCUGACUGUCAAAAAAAAAGAUAGUUAUAUAUGGUUGUAGAUCAACUUUUGUUGUACUUUUCUGGGUUACUUUCCUCUUGUUUGUUUCGUCUCCUGGCGAAAAAAGCACCUUAUUCUAAAAAAAAAUAAUGCAACUUGCUACACCCAGUGAAGAUGCAAAAAAGAUGUGGUUUUGAUACCUUCGAAUGACCCAAGCUUAAAACAGUUGCUGCCAUAUAGUAACAAUUAUACCAACAAUGGCUACAUGUUGAUUAAAAGACUGGUAAUAUUCUCCAAAUGAUGUUUUGAGGUAAAUUCUCAAGGUUUGCUCUUUCCCUGAAUUGGAGAGAACAUAUUUUGUUGUGUGCUCAGAACUUGAAAAAAGAUGAAAAAGUGAAGGAUUUAGGAUCACCAGCCUCUAGUAGGCCAUAAGAUUUGGUAUGCUUUUGCCUUCACUUUUUUAUUUUCUUUGGUUUUGAUGGUUGUUGAAAAGCUUCAUCUUUGGC
This 1138-nucleotide long non-coding RNA is filed under the name Solanum tuberosum (potato). RNAcentral's name for it is "long non-coding RNA (STUB_LNC002347)". The record is from RNAcentral. Lineage: Eukaryota; Viridiplantae; Streptophyta; Magnoliopsida; Solanales; Solanaceae.